Molecule: transfer RNA, 90 nt
Filed under: Mesobacillus maritimus
Lineage: Bacteria; Bacillati; Bacillota; Bacilli; Caryophanales; Bacillaceae
Description: tRNA-Ser
Rfam family: tRNA
About the family: Transfer RNA (tRNA) molecules are approximately 80 nucleotides in length.
Source: RNAcentral
GGAGUUGUACCCAAGCGGCUAUAAGGGGCUGCAUUGGAAAUGCAGUAGACGUGCAAGCGUGCGAGGGUUCGAAUCCCUCCAACUCCGCCA